RNAcentral lists this unclassified non-coding RNA (222 nucleotides) under Hevea brasiliensis (rubber tree). The record is from RNAcentral. Lineage: Eukaryota; Viridiplantae; Streptophyta; Magnoliopsida; Malpighiales; Euphorbiaceae.
AUAUAUAUAUAUAUAUAUAUUUGAGUUUUUGAAUGCUCUAUGGCGCUUUGGACUGCAUUUUUUUCUUGGCUUUUCUGCCCUCGAUGACAAUGUCUGCUCUGCUGGCUUCUAUCAUUAUGGUCUUUUCUAAGUAAAUGCUAUUUGGCUUCUAUCAUUAUGGUCUUUUCUAAGUAAAUGCUAUUUGGCUUCUAUCAUUAUGGUCUUUUCUAAGUAAAUGCUAUU